GAUGAACGCUGGCGGCGUGCCUAAUACAUGCAAGUCGAGCGAACAGAUGAGGAUCUUGCUCCGCGGACGUUAGCGGCGGACGUGUGAGUAACACGUGUAUAACCUCCCUAUAAUGCGGGUAUAACUUCGGAAAACCGGGUCUAAUACCGUAGAAUAUAUUGAACCACAGUGGGCAAUAGUAAAAUACGGUUGUGCUGGCACGUAUAGAUGGAUCCGCGCCGUUUUGGAUAGUUGUGAAGUUAACGGCUUACCAAGGCAACGAUGCGUAGCCGACGUGAGAGGGUGAUAGGCCACAUUGGAACGGAGCCACGGUCCAGACUACUACGGGAGGCCGCAGUAGGGAAUCUUACGCAAUGGGCGAAAGCAUGACGGAGCAACGCGGAGUGAGUGAUGACGGUCUUCGGAUCGUAAAACUCUGUUAUUAGGGAAGAACAAAUGUGUAAGUAAAUAUGCACGUAUUGACGGUAACUAAUAAGAAAGCACCGGCUAACUACGUG
Molecule: ribosomal RNA, 497 nt
Filed under: uncultured bacterium
Lineage: Bacteria
Description: partial 16S ribosomal RNA
Rfam family: Bacterial small subunit ribosomal RNA
Source: RNAcentral